AUUUUGACUGUACAAAGGUAGCAUAAUCAUUUGUCUUUUAAUUGAAGGCUUGUAUGAAUGGUUGGAUGAAAAAUAUACUUUCUUUAUUAUAUAUAAAAAAUUUAAUUUUUUAGUUAAAAAGCUAAAAUGAUAUUAUAGGACGAGAAGACCCUAUAGAACUUUAUUUUCUUUUUUAUAUAAAUUUUAUAGUUAAAUAAAAAUUUCUAUAUUUAUGUUUAUUUUGUUGGGGUGAUUGAAAAAACUUUAUAACUUUUUCUAUUUCUUUCAUUUAUGUAUGUUAUUUAUGAUCCUUUAUUAUGGAUAAUAAGAUUAAGUUACCUUAGGGAUAACAGCGUUAUUUUUUUGGAGAGUUCAUAUCGAUAAAAAAGUUUGCGACCUCGAUGUUGGAUUAAAAUAA
Molecule: ribosomal RNA, 397 nt
Filed under: Micromimetus sp. 3 AAN-2018
Lineage: Eukaryota; Metazoa; Arthropoda; Insecta; Hemiptera; Miridae
Description: partial large subunit ribosomal RNA
Source: RNAcentral